GACGAACGCUGGCGGCGUGCUUAACACAUGCAAGUCGAGCGGUAAGGCCCUUUCGGGGGUACACGAGCGGCGAACGGGUGAGUAACACGUGGGUGACCUGCCCUCAGCUCUGGGAUAAGCCUGGGAAACCGGGUCUAAUACCGGAUAUGACUCCAUGACGCAUGUUGUGGGGUGGAAAGCCUUGUGCGGCUGAGGAUGGGCCCGCGGCCUAUCAGCUUGUUGGUGGGGUGAUGGCCUACCAAGGCGACGACGGUAGCCGGCCUGAGAGGGCGACCGGCCACACUGGGACUGAGACACGGCCCAGACUCCUACGGGAGGCAGCAGUGGGGAAUCUUGCGCAAGUGGGCGAAAAGCCUGACGCAGCGACGCCGCGUGAGGGAU
This 381-nucleotide ribosomal RNA is filed under the name uncultured bacterium. RNAcentral describes it as "bacterial SSU rRNA". It matches the Rfam family "Bacterial small subunit ribosomal RNA", at positions 28 to 409 of the family's 1533-position model. The record is from RNAcentral.